Molecule: unclassified non-coding RNA, 200 nt
Filed under: Sebacinales sp.
Lineage: Eukaryota; Fungi; Basidiomycota; Agaricomycetes; Sebacinales
Description: partial internal transcribed spacer 2
Source: RNAcentral
UUAAGUUCAGCGGGUAGUCCCACCCGAUUUGAGGUCAAAUUGUCAAAGAUUUUGUCCGAGGACGGUUGGAAGCAUAGAGCUCACAAUACAAACGCGGUCUUGCGACCAACUCUGGUGAAAUGUUUAUUACACCGGAUACGCUGCAAAGCAAGGUACACUCAGGCAUUUGAGACGAGCCGUAACAAAACGACAACAUCCAA